CUACGGGCCGCAGCAGUGAGGAAUAUUGGACAAUGGAGGCAACUCUGAUCCAGCCAUGCCGCGUGCAGGAAGACGGCCCUAUGGGUUGUAAACUGCUUUUAUACAGGAAGAAUGGUACCUACGUGUAGGUAUUUGACGGUACUGUACGAAUAAGGAUCGGCUAACUCCGUGCCAGCAGCCGCGGUAAUACGGAGGAUCCAAGCGUUAUCCGGAAUCAUUGGGUUUAAAGGGUCCGUAGGCGGUUUUUUAAGUCAGAGGUGAAAUCCUGCAGCUCAACUGUAGCAUUGCCUCUGAUACUGAAAGACUUGAGUUAUUGUGAAGUAGUUAGAAUGUGUAGUGUAGCGGUGAAAUGCAUAGAUAUUACACAGAAUACCGAUUGCGAAAGCAGAUUACUAAUAAUAUACUGACGCUCAGGGACGAAAGCGUGGGUAGCGAACAGGAUUAGAUACCCGUGUAGUC
This 459-nucleotide ribosomal RNA is filed under the name uncultured bacterium. Its description in RNAcentral is "partial 16S ribosomal RNA". It matches the Rfam family "Bacterial small subunit ribosomal RNA", at positions 339 to 795 of the family's 1533-position model. The record is from RNAcentral.